This 494-nucleotide ribosomal RNA is filed under the name uncultured bacterium. RNAcentral describes it as "partial 16S ribosomal RNA". It matches the Rfam family "Bacterial small subunit ribosomal RNA", at positions 28 to 523 of the family's 1533-position model. The record is from RNAcentral.
GAUGAACGCUGGCGGCGUGCCUAACACAUGCAAGUCGAACGGAGUUAUUAUUAUGAAGUUUUCGGAUGGAUUAAUAAUAACUUAGUGGCGGACGGGUGAGUAACGCGUGGGUAACCUGCCUCAUACAGGGGGAUAACAGUUGGAAACGGCUGCUAAAACCGCAUAACAUUGCGAUGUCGCAUGACAAUGCAAUUAAAUAUUUAUAGGUAUGAGAUGGGACCGCGUCUGAUUAGCUAGUUGGUGGGGUAAUGGCCUACCAAGGCGACGAUCAGUAGCCGGCUUGAGAGAGUGACCGGCAACAUUGGGACUGAGACACGGCCCAAACUCCUACGGGAGGCAGCAGUGGGGAAUAUUGCACAAUGGGGGAAACCCUGAUGCAGCGACGCCGCGUGAGUGAAGAAGUAUUUCGGUAUGUAAAGCUCUAUCAGCAGGGAAGAAAAUGACGGUACCUGACUAAGAAGCCCCGGCUAACUACGUGCCAGCCGCCGCCGUAA